UUACUUUGAUUGUCUAAGGUUGCAACCUUAUGCAAACCACACAUUAUACAUAUAUCAAUAUAUAUAUCUAUAUAUGAGUAGAGCUACCAAUAGGUUGUAGUAAUCUAAAAUAAGUAGCAGUUUAGGUUAUGCUUCCAGCCGUCAGAUCUUGAUUGGAUGGUUGAAAAUGCAUGUUACUAUUUGAAUUUAAAUCUUUUUUCUACGAAUCGGAUCAAAAUGAAAAUUUUGAUAUACUCUUUAAGAAAAAGACUUAACCUUUUAUGAAUAUCUAAUAGCCUCCUUUCCUUCAUGCAAGCGACCUAUGUGUACACCAUGGGACACAUUAGACCAUAUUCCAUACCCAGACCCUAGUGCAGCCUUAGAAGAUUCCCUAUAUAUUCUUGAGAUAUUCCAUCAUCCUGAGAUAUCCAAAUAUCCUAAAUUUCCCAUUUUAGGAAAUUGCAACCUGAAAAUAAGCAAGAACUGUGCCAGAAAGAAAAAAAAAAUCGCGAAUUGCAGCCCCAAGGAAGUGUUCGAUUUCGGUUAGACCACCACGAUCAGACUUUGCACAGUCUCCAGUAGUGACCAAAACUGUCUGGGGUUUAAUGCCAGGGGUGCGUCCCUGAGUUCAUUUGGCUCAGUGCCACUCCUUGUGCUACCAAAAUUUUGACGGCCUAGAUUUAAUCUGGAUUGCUACCUUUCUUUUUUGACAAGUUUUUAUCUAAAAAAGAACACAUCUAGUUAUUUUUAGGGGACCUUAGUGACGAAACCCUAACCCGAGCCUCUAAUUCUGAAGAUCCAACCCUAGACUUAGGUCAUUCAAACCCUAGAUCUAGGAAACUGUUCCAGCCAAUGUCAAACAAAUUCAUUCAAAUCAAAAGCCUCAGAAGUAAAUUCCUAGGCACCAAUCUACCUCGGAGUGCAAUCUGACAAGACAGAUAUGCAAUCUCGAAGAUCAAGGAGCAAGACUCAUCAUCAUUGUCUGAUCUAGGCCCAACUUCAGUUGCCGGGCCUGAGGGCCCGACCUCGAGUGUCGUAUUUCAGAUUUACUUAAACCUGAGCCAACUCGGCUGGUGAGAAGAAAGGUCUUUCAAGGCUGAUCUACUCAUAAAUUGUAAAUAGGUGGAACCCACCUCUUCUGAUAUUUUAAAACUUUAAGGUUGGAGACCAUCUUAGAUAGAUCGGACUUUUAAGUAGUACGCUUAAUCUCAGAAUCGUGUGAACAAUUGUUCCUAAAAUGCAUAUUCAAAUUAUUUUUGGAGGGUAGAUUAGUGA
This is a non-coding RNA of Amborella trichopoda, 1254 nucleotides long. Lineage: Eukaryota; Viridiplantae; Streptophyta; Magnoliopsida; Amborellales; Amborellaceae. The record is from RefSeq and is a predicted model, not a curated record.